GUUUUAAUAAUUUAAAUUAAAAUAUUGAUUUUGUAAAUCAAACAUGAAAAUUAUAUUCUUAAAACA
RNAcentral lists this transfer RNA (66 nucleotides) under Mitjaevia shibingensis. RNAcentral describes it as "tRNA-Thr". The record is from RNAcentral. Lineage: Eukaryota; Metazoa; Arthropoda; Insecta; Hemiptera; Cicadellidae.